Long non-coding RNA from Oncorhynchus tshawytscha (Chinook salmon), 502 nucleotides. Lineage: Eukaryota; Metazoa; Chordata; Actinopteri; Salmoniformes; Salmonidae. The record is from Ensembl.
GUGGAGGUGGUCAGAGUGACUGGUAGUGGAGGUGGUCUGAGUGACUGGUAGUGGAGGUGGUCAGAGUGACUGGCCGUGGAGGUGGUCAGAGUGACUGGUAGUGGAGGUGGUCUGAGUGACUGGUAGUGGAGGUGGUCUGAGUGACUGGUAGUGGAGGUGGUAACUCAUGCGUCAGAGUGACUGGUAGAGGAGGUGGUCUGAGUGACUGGUAGUGGAGGUGGUCUGAGUGACUGGCCGUGGAGGUGGUCAGAGUGACUGGUAGUGGAGGUGGUCUGAGUGACUGGUAGUGGAGGUGGUCUGAGUGACUGGUAGUGGAGGUGGUCUGAGUGACUGGUAGUGGAGGUGGUCUGAGUGACUGGUAGUGGAGGUGGUCUGAGUGACUGGUAGUGGAGGUGGUCUGAGUGACUGGUAGUGGAGGUGGUCUGAGUGACUGGUAGUGGAGGUGGUCUGAGUGACUGGUAGUGGAGGUGGUAUCUCAUGGUGGUCUCUUUCCCAUCAUUAG